This 365-nucleotide ribosomal RNA is filed under the name uncultured bacterium. RNAcentral describes it as "partial 16S ribosomal RNA". It matches the Rfam family "Bacterial small subunit ribosomal RNA", at positions 338 to 695 of the family's 1533-position model. The record is from RNAcentral.
CCUACGGGAGGCAGCAGUGGGGAAUAUUGCGCAAUGGGCGAAAGCCUGACGCAGCGACGCCGCGUGAGGGAUGAAGGUCUUCGGAUCGUAAACCUCUGUCAGCAGGGAAGAACGGUCACUGUGCUAAUCAGCAGUGAAUUGACGGUACCUGCAAAGGAAGCACCGGCUAACUCCGUGCCAGCAGCCGCGGUAAUACGGAGGGUGCGUGCGUUAAUUGGAAUUACUGGGCGUAAAGCUCUCGUAGGCGGUAUGUCAGUUGAAGGGUGAAACCCCCGCGCUCAAAGUGGGAACUGCCUUUGAAACGGGCAAACUGGAGUGUGUGAGAGGAUAGUGGAAUUCGAGGUGUAGGAGUGAAAUCCGUAGAU